GUUAUAUGGUCAAGCGAAUAAGCGCACACGGUGGAUGCCUAGGCGGUCAGAGGCGAUGAAGGACGUGGUAGCCUGCGAAAAGUGUCGGGGAGCUGGCAACAAGCUUUGAUCCGGCAAUAUCCGAAUGGGGAAACCCACUGCUUCGGCAGUAUCCUGCAGUCAAUUCAUAGCUGCUGGAAGCGAACCCGGUGAACUGAAAUAUCUAAGUAACCGGAGGAAAAGAAAUCAACCGAGAUUCCCUAAGUAGUGACGAGCGAACGGGGAGCAGCCCUUAAGACUGGAAUGGCUUUAGAAAAACAAUCUGGAAAGAUUGGCCAUAGAAGGUGAUAGCCCUGUAUUUAAAAGGGCCACUCCAGUGAAGACGAGUAGGGCGGGGCACGUGAAACCCUGUCUGAAUAUGGGGGGACCAUCCUCCAAGGCUAAAUACUCCUGACCGACCGAUAGUGAACCAGUACCGUGAGGGAAAGGCGAAAAGAACCCCGGAGAGGGGAGUGAAAUAGAUCCUGAAACCGUGUGCGUACAAGCAGUAGGAGCUCGCAAGAGUGACUGCGUACCUUUUGUAUAAUGGGUCAGCGACUUACUGUUCGUGGCAAGCUUAACCGUAUAGGGGAGGCGAAGGGAAACCGAGUCUGAUAAGGGCGCAUAGUCGCGGGCAGUAGACCCGAAACCGGGUGAUCUAGUCAUGGCCAGGGUGAAGGUGCCGUAACAGGUACUGGAGGCCCGAACCCACGUCUGUUGCAAAAGACGGGGAUGAGCUGUGAUUAGGAGUGAAAAGCUAAUCGAACCCGGAGAUAGCUGGUUCUCCUCGAAAGCUAUUUAGGUAGCGCCUCGGACGAAUACUACUGGGGGUAGAGCACUGUUAUGGCUAGGGGGUCAUCGCGACUUACCAAACCAUUGCAAACUCCGAAUACCAGUACGUACUAUCCGGGAGACACACGGCGGGUGCUAACGUCCGUCGUGAAAAGGGAAACAACCCAGACCCACAGCUAAGGUCCCAAAUUCACUGCUAAGUGGAAAACGAUGUGGAAAGGCAUAGACAGCCAGGAGGUUGGCUUAGAAGCAGCCACCCUUUAAAGAAAGCGUAAUAGCUCACUGGUCGAGUCGGUCUGCGCGGAAGAUUUAACGGGGCUAAGCAGUGAACCGAAGCUUGGGGUGCGUAAAACUUCGGUUUUAUGCGCGGUAGAGGAGCGUUCCGUAAGCCUGCGAAGGUGGAUUGAGAAGUCUGCUGGAGGUAUCGGAAGUGCGAAUGCUGACAUGAGUAACGAUAAUGCGGGUGAAAAGCCCGCACGCCGAAAGCCCAAGGUUUCCUUGCGCAACGUUAAUCGACGCAGGGUUAGUCGGUCCCUAAGGCGAGGGCGAAAGCCGUAGUCGAUGGGAAGCAGGUUAAUAUUCCUGCACCUCGCGUGAGUGCGAUGGAGGGACGGAGAAGGUUAGGUGUACCGGGCGUUGGUUGUCCCGGGGAAAGGCGGUAGGUUUGGAUCUUUGGCAAAUCCGGGAUCCUUUAAGACCGAGCACCGAGACGAGCCUUUAUGGCGAAGUCACUGAUACCACGCUUCCAGGAAAAGCUCCUAAGCUUCAGCUCACGAAGACCGUACCGUAAACCGACACAGGUGGGUAGGAUGAGAAUUCUCAGGCGCUUGAGAGAACUCGGGUGAAGGAACUAGGCAACAUGGCACCGUAACUUCGGGAGAAGGUGCACCCUUUUUGGUGGCUCAUGCGAGCUAUAGCUGAAGAGGGUCGCAGAAACCAGGCCGCUGCGACUGUUUAUCAAAAACACAGCACUCUGCAAACACGAAAGUGGACGUAUAGGGUGUGACGCCUGCCCGGUGCUGGAAGGUUAAUUGAUGGGGUCAGCCGCAAGGCGAAGCUCUUGAUCGAAGCCCCAGUAAACGGCGGCCGUAACUAUAACGGUCCUAAGGUAGCGAAAUUCCUUGUCGGGUAAGUUCCGACCUGCACGAAUGGCGUAACGACAGCGGCGCUGUCUCCACCCGAGACUCAGUGAAAUUGAAAUCGCUGUGAAGAUGCAGCGUUCCCGUGGCAAGACGGAAAGACCCCGUGAACCUUUACUAUAGCUUUACACUGAACGUUGAGUUCGUCUGUGUAGGAUAGGUGGGAGGCUAUGAAACUGUGGCGCUAGCUGCAGUGGAGCCAUCCUUGAAAUACCACCCUGUCGUGCUUGACGUUCUAACCUAGGUCCGUUAUCCGGAUCAGGGACCGUGUAUGGUGGGUAGUUUGACUGGGGCGGUCUCCUCCUAAAGAGUAACGGAGGAGCACGAAGGUACGCUCAGCGCGGUCGGACAUCGCGCACUGUGUGCAAAGGCAUAAGCGUGCUUGACUGCAAGAUCGACGGAUCAAGCAGGUACGAAAGUAGGUCUUAGUGAUCCGGUGGUUCUGUAUGGAAGGGCCAUCGCUCAACGGAUAAAAGGUACUCCGGGGAUAACAGGCUGAUACCGCCCAAGAGUUCAUAUCGACGGCGGUGUUUGGCACCUCGAUGUCGGCUCAUCACAUCCUGGGGCUGUAGUCGGUCCCAAGGGUAUGGCUGUUCGCCAUUUAAAGUGGUACGCGAGCUGGGUUCAGAACGUCGUGAGACAGUUCGGUCCCUAUCUGCCAUGGGCGUUGGAAGUUUGAGAGGGGCUGCUCCUAGUACGAGAGGACCGGAGUGGACGAACCUCUGGUGUUCCGGUUGUCACGCCAGUGGCAUUGCCGGGUAGCUAUGUUCGGAAGCGAUAACCGCUGAAAGCAUCUAAGCGGGAAGCGCGCCUCAAGAUGAGACUUCCCGGGGCACAAGCCCCCUAAAGGAACCAUGUAGACUACGUGGUUGAUAGGUCAGGUGUGUAAGUACAGCAAUGUAUUGAGCUAACUGAUACUAAUGAUCCGUGCGGCUUGACCAUAUAACU
This 2897-nucleotide ribosomal RNA is filed under the name Xanthomonas oryzae pv. oryzae. Its description in RNAcentral is "bacterial LSU rRNA". It matches the Rfam family "Bacterial large subunit ribosomal RNA". The record is from RNAcentral. Lineage: Bacteria; Pseudomonadati; Pseudomonadota; Gammaproteobacteria; Lysobacterales; Lysobacteraceae.